RNAcentral lists this ribosomal RNA (885 nucleotides) under uncultured Chloroflexota bacterium. RNAcentral's name for it is "SSU rRNA". It matches the Rfam family "Bacterial small subunit ribosomal RNA", at positions 8 to 916 of the family's 1533-position model. Lineage: Bacteria; Bacillati; Chloroflexota. The record is from RNAcentral.
AGAGUUUGAUCCUGGCUCAGGAUGAACGCUGGCGGCGUGCCUAAUACAUGCAAGUCGAACGGAGAUGCAGCAAUGUAUCUUAGUGGCGACCGGGUGCGUAACACGUAGCUGACCUGCCCCUCAGCGGGGGACAACAGUACGAAAGUGCUGCUAAUACCGCAUACAUUUGGUUUAAUUAGCAAGGACCAAAGAAACUUACGGGGCUGAGGGAGGGGGCUGCGGCCCAUCAGGUAGUUGGUGAGGUAACGGCUCACCAAGCCAACGACGGGUAGGGGGCCUGAGAGGGUGGUCCCCCACACUGGGACUGACAACGGCCCAGACUCCUACGGGAGGCAGCAGUAAGGGAUAUUGCGCAAUGGGCGAAAGCCUGACGCAGCAACGCCGCGUGAAGGAUGAAGGCCUUCGGGUCGUAAACUUCUUUUCUCGCUGACGAGGAAGGACGGUAGGCGAGGAAUCAGUCACGGCUAACUACGUGCCAGCAGCCGCGGUAAAACGUAGGUGGCGAGCGUUAUCCGGAUUUACUGGGCGUAAAGCGUGUGCAGGCGGACGGCCAAGUGGUGUAUGAAAUCGCCGGGCUAAACCGGGCGGGGUUAUGCCAGACUGGUCGUCUGGAGUGUGAGAGAGGGGCGUGGAAUUCCGGGUGUAGUGGUGAAAUGCGUAGAGAUCCGGAGGAACCCCAGAGGCGAAGGCGGCGCCCUGGCUCACAACUGACGCUCAGACACGACAGCAUGGGGAGCGAACGGGAUUAGAAACCCCGGUAGUCCAUGCCGUAAACGAUGCAAACUAGGCGCUGACGGUCUCAACCCCGCCGGUGCCGGAGCUAACGCGAUAAGUUUGCCGCCUGGGGAGUACGGCCGCAAGGCUAAAACUCAAAGGAAUUGACGG